RNAcentral lists this transfer RNA (75 nucleotides) under Bordetella sp. RNAcentral's name for it is "tRNA-Arg". It matches the Rfam family "tRNA". From Rfam's summary of the family: Transfer RNA (tRNA) molecules are approximately 80 nucleotides in length. Lineage: Bacteria; Pseudomonadati; Pseudomonadota; Betaproteobacteria; Burkholderiales; Alcaligenaceae. RNAcentral also lists the same sequence under 11 other names. The record is from RNAcentral.
GUCUCCGUAGUUCAAUGGAUAGAACAAGGACCUCCUAAGUCCUAGAUACAGGUUCGAUUCCUGUCGGAGACGCCA